This 73-nucleotide transfer RNA is filed under the name Phycisphaeraceae bacterium. Its description in RNAcentral is "tRNA-Thr". It matches the Rfam family "tRNA". From Rfam's summary of the family: Transfer RNA (tRNA) molecules are approximately 80 nucleotides in length. Their secondary structure includes four short double-helical elements and three loops (D, anti-codon, and T loops). Further hydrogen bonds mediate the characteristic L-shaped molecular structure. tRNAs have two regions of fundamental functional importance: the anti-codon, which is responsible for specific mRNA codon recognition, and the 3' end, to which the tRNAs corresponding amino acid is attached (by aminoacyl-tRNA synthetases). tRNAs cope with the degeneracy of the genetic code in two manners: having more than one tRNA (with a specific anti-codon) for a particular amino acid; and 'wobble' base-pairing, i.e. permitting non-standard base-pairing at the 3rd anti-codon position. Lineage: Bacteria; Pseudomonadati; Planctomycetota; Phycisphaerae; Phycisphaerales; Phycisphaeraceae. The record is from RNAcentral.
GCCGCCUUAGCUCAACUGGUAGAGCGCGUGAUUUGUAAUCUCGAGGUUGCGGGUUCGAGUCCCGCAGGCGGCU